GAAUAGGACCAUGGACUUCACGGUUUGUGGUGGAAAGCUUUUGCGGUGUGGGAUGGGCCCGCGGCCUAUCAGCUUGUUGGUGGGGUAAUGGCCUACCAAGGCGACGACGGGUAGCCGGCCUGAGAGGGUGACCGGCCACACUGGGACUGAGAUGCGGCCCAGACUCCUACGGGAGGCAGCAGUGGGGAAUAUUGCACAAUGGGCGCAAGCCUGAUGCAGCGACGCCGCGUGAGGGAUGACGGCCUUCGGGUUGUAAACCUCUUUCAGCACAGACGAAGCGCAAGUGACGGUAUGUGCAGAAGAAGGACCGGCCAACUACGUG
RNAcentral lists this ribosomal RNA (322 nucleotides) under uncultured bacterium. RNAcentral's name for it is "bacterial SSU rRNA". It matches the Rfam family "Bacterial small subunit ribosomal RNA", at positions 171 to 507 of the family's 1533-position model. The record is from RNAcentral.